Molecule: ribosomal RNA, 497 nt
Filed under: uncultured bacterium
Lineage: Bacteria
Description: partial 16S ribosomal RNA
Rfam family: Bacterial small subunit ribosomal RNA
Source: RNAcentral
GAUGAACGCUGGCGGCGUGCCUAAUACAUGCAAGUCGAGCGAACAGACGCGGAGCUUGCUCCUCUGACGUUAGCGGCGGGCGGGUGAGUAACACGUGGAUAACCUCCCUAUAAGACUGGGAUAACUUCGGGACACCGGAGCUAAUACCGGAUAACAUGCUGAACCGCAUGGGUCAACAGUGAAAGACGGUCUUGCUGUCACUUCUAGAUGCAUCCGGGCCGCAUUAGCUAGUUGGUACGGUAACGGCUUACCAAGGCAACGAGGCGUAGCCGACCGGUGAGGGUGAUCGGCGGCCUGGGAAGGGAGCCAGCGACCAGACGCCUGCGGUAGGGCCCAGUCGGGAACGGGACGCAGUGGGGGAAAGCCUGACGGAGCAAGGGCGAGUGAGUGACGACGGUCUUGCGAUCGGAAAACUCUGUUAUGAGUGAAGAACAACUGUGGAAGGAAAUAUGGCGGUAGUGACGGUAACGGAUCAGAAAGCAACGGCUAACUACGUG